RNAcentral lists this ribosomal RNA (443 nucleotides) under uncultured bacterium. RNAcentral's name for it is "partial 16S ribosomal RNA". It matches the Rfam family "Bacterial small subunit ribosomal RNA", at positions 338 to 795 of the family's 1533-position model. The record is from RNAcentral.
CCUACGGGGGGCUGCAGUGGGGAAUAUUGGGCAAUGGAGGCAACUCUGACCCAGCAACGCCGCGUGAAUGAUGAAGGUCUUCGGAUUGUAAAGUUCUGUGAUGGGGGAUGAACACAAUGACGGUACCCCAAUAGCACGCCACGGCUAACUACGUGCCAGCAGCCGCGGUAAUACGUAGGUGGCAAGCGUUCUCCGGAUUGACUGGGCGUAAAGGGUGCGUAGGUGGUUUAGUAAGUUGGCGGUGUAAUUCCGGGGCUCAAACACGGCGCUGCCGUCAAUACUAUUAGACUAGAGUGCAGGGGGGGUAAGUGGAAUUCCUAGUGUAGCGGUGGAAUGCGUAGAUAUUAGGAGGAACAGCAGGGGCGAAGGCGACUUACUGGACUGUAACUGACGCUGAGGCACGAAAGCGUGGGGAGCAAACAGGAUUAGAUACCCGGGUAGUC